Molecule: transfer RNA, 73 nt
Filed under: Felis catus (domestic cat)
Lineage: Eukaryota; Metazoa; Chordata; Mammalia; Carnivora; Felidae
Rfam family: tRNA
About the family: Transfer RNA (tRNA) molecules are approximately 80 nucleotides in length. Their secondary structure includes four short double-helical elements and three loops (D, anti-codon, and T loops).
Source: Rfam by way of RNAcentral
GCCUGGCUGGCUCAGUCGGUAGAGCAUGUGGCUCAUGAUCUCAGGGCCGUGAGUUCGAGCCCCACACGGGGUA